RNAcentral lists this transfer RNA (67 nucleotides) under Gonatocerus sp. ZCS-2018. RNAcentral's name for it is "tRNA-Tyr". Lineage: Eukaryota; Metazoa; Arthropoda; Insecta; Hymenoptera; Mymaridae. The record is from RNAcentral.
GUAAUUUGUCUGAAUAAAGUAAUAAAUUGUAAAUUUAUUUAAAGAUUAUUUAAUAAUCUAAUUACUA